This 301-nucleotide ribosomal RNA is filed under the name uncultured bacterium. Its description in RNAcentral is "partial 16S ribosomal RNA". It matches the Rfam family "Bacterial small subunit ribosomal RNA", at positions 509 to 807 of the family's 1533-position model. The record is from RNAcentral.
CAGUCGCCGCGGUAAGACAGAGGAUGCAAGCGUUAUCCGGAAUGAUUGGGCGUAAAGCGUCUGUAGGUGGCUUUUCAAGUCCGCUGUCAAAUCCCAGGGCUCAACCCUGGACAGGCGGUGGAAACUACCAAGCUGGAGUACGGUGGGGGCAGAGGGAAUUUCCAGUGGAGUGGUGAAAUGCGUUGAGAUCGGAAAGAACACCAACGGCGAAAGCACUCUGCUGGGCCGACACUGACACUGAGAGACGAAAGCUAGGGGAGCAAAUGGGAUUAGAUACCCCAGUAGUCCCUGUCUCUUAUAC